This 433-nucleotide ribosomal RNA is filed under the name uncultured bacterium. RNAcentral's name for it is "partial 16S ribosomal RNA". It matches the Rfam family "Bacterial small subunit ribosomal RNA", at positions 29 to 507 of the family's 1533-position model. The record is from RNAcentral.
AAUGAACGCUGGCGGCAUGCCUAACACAUGCAAGUCGAACGAGACCUUCGGGUCUAUUGGCGCACGGGUGCGUAACGCGUGGGAACCUGCCCUUAGGUUCGGAAUAACUCCCCGAAAGGGGUGCUAAUAGCGGACAAUGUCUUCGGACCAAAGAUUUAUUGCCUUUGGAUGGGCCCGCGUGGGAUUAGCUUGUUGGUAGGGUAAAAGCCUACCAAGGCGACGAUCCAUAGCUGGUCUCAGAGGAUGAUCAGCCACACUGGGACUGAGACACGGCCCAGAAUCCUACGGGAGGCAGCAGUGGGGAAUAGUGGACAAUGGGCGAAAGCAUGAUGCAGCAAUGACGCGUAAGUGAUGAAGGCCUUAGAGUUGUAAAGCUCUUUUAACCAGGAUGAUAAUGACAGUACCGGGAGAAUAAGCCCCGGCUAACUCCGUG